CCUACGGGGGGCUGCAGUGAGGAAUAUUGGUCAAUGGGCGUAAGCCUGAACCAGCCAAGUCGCGUGAGGGAUGAAUGCCCUAUGGGUUGUAAACCUCUUUUAUAAGGGAAUAAAGUGCGGGACGUGUCCCGUUUUGUAUGUACUUUAUGAAUAAGGAUCGGCUAACUCCGUGCCAGCAGCCGCGGUAAUACGGAGGAUCCGAGCGUUAUCCGGAUUUAUUGGGUUUAAAGGGUGCGUAGACGGCUUUUUAAGUCAGCGGUGAAAGUCUGUGGCUCAACCAUAAAAUUGCCGUUGAGACUGGGAGGCUUGAGUAUAGUUGAGGUAGGCGGAAUGCGUGGUGUAGCGGUGAAAUGCUUAGAUAUCACGAAGAACCCCGAUUGCGAAGGCAGCCUGCCAAGCCAUGACUGACACUGAUGCACGAAAGCGUGGGGAUCAAACAGGAUUAGAUACCCUAGUAGUC
Molecule: ribosomal RNA, 460 nt
Filed under: uncultured bacterium
Lineage: Bacteria
Description: partial 16S ribosomal RNA
Rfam family: Bacterial small subunit ribosomal RNA
Source: RNAcentral